GUAAAAGUCUUAGUGUUGUCUUUCACCCUGAAAAAGAAGCUCGUGUAAUUUACAUAAAGAACCGGUAAAUUAAUCUUUUCACUGAGGUGACGUGUUUCAUUGACGCCCACUUGCUUCACGUAGCCGAUUCACGUGACAUCAUUGCACGUCAUUCAUCAACUGUCACUUUGUAUCGUGAAGAUUAGAAAUAAAUGAUCUGCACCGGACGAGACCGUGAGUCGCUGGCUGGCCUGGUUGCGUUAAAGAAAAUGAGCAAAACAUGGGUUCUGGUGGAAUGGAGGGAGGAGCCUCCCACCUAUGAUAUUGUCCCUAAAAAGGACAUACUAAAAAAAAAGUUUGAACCUGGAGAUGUUGUGGAUGUGGCUUAUGAAGAGGAAAGUUCCCCAGCCACAGUUAUAGAUAUUGAUGAGAGCAAAGAUACCCUCAGGAGGAGGAUGUUUAGGCUAGAGGGGAAAAGAAAAAAUCAGCCAUGUUUGCAAAAUGAUGCAAAAAGAGUAGCAAAGAAAAAAAAAACGUACACUCCAACUCAUUCCCCAUCUCACUCCAAAACGUCCUCAUCAUCUGAUCAAGAGCCUCCAGUCAAACAUCAAGUCAUCCACCGAAAGGACAGUAUGUUAAUGCAAGAGAUUAACAGCAUGGAGAGUCAAGCUGGAGAGCAUUCAAGCCGAGAAACUCAACUUGAGAGAGAAAUUCUCAAAUUAAAAAAAGAAAAUGAGAAUCUAAGAGCACUUAAUAUAGCUCUGCAACAAGAAAUUCUUCCAAUGCUCAAGUGCAGCAUGAACCAGGACACUCUUGUUGCUCAACAACCACAAGAUUCAAGUCAGAAGAAUCCCCCUGAAAAGACACAGGGGCUAGGAAUUAGUUCAGCUGUCCUGACAAGUUGUGGACGGGGGGGCACAUCAUGUUCUGCCAGGGUGAAAGAUCUGGCAGUGGCAGUGUUUGGGAGAGAGACACUGGCCACACAUGGGCUGUCUGGAAGGGCUGGCAAUGCUAACACAGGCGCUAUGGCAAAGCCAGCUUUUGACCAGGACAAAGUUGUGCUGAUCCUAGACACAGUACAAAAAAAGUUCCCUGAUGUUCCAAAAAAGUUCAUCAGGGCAGCACUAAGAGAAAAGUUAAAUGAUGAGCACAAGUUACGAGUAAGGUAAUAAUUUGUCAUACACACAACACACUCGCUCAUGCUCUCUCUCUCUCUCUCUCUCACACCUCAUACACCCUCAUGCUCUCUCACACACAAACACAUACUCAUGCUCUCCCUCUCUCUCUCUCUCUCUCUCACACACACACACACACACACACGUUAAUGAUCUCUCUUUCUCUAUCUCUCACACACACACACACACACACACACACACACAAACACGCUCAUGCUCUCUCUCUCUCUCUCUCUCUCACACACACACACACACACAAACAAAUUUUUAAAUUUCUCUUUUUUUCUUGUUUUUCAGGAAAACAGUGUAGAGGCUUCAUUUGGCUGUGAAUUGGUCUCUGCUUCGCUCUGCUCUUACAGUUUCAAUAAAUACAAUAAAUAAUUUGUGAAAAUACAUUGUUUGUUGUGAAGUUAUUCCCCCUGCAUUAAUCCUACAGAAGACAUAAGAAGACCUGUAUAAUUGCAUAUAUAUCCACAACAGUCCUGCAGGAACUUUGAAUAUUAUAUUUUAAAACCCUGCAGGGAUAUAAUUCCUGCAGGUAUUCCUUCAUAAAAUUCCUGCAGGUAUUCCUUCAGGAAAAUGAGCUGAAAAUCCUGUAGGAAAUCUGCAUAAUAUUCC
Cyprinus carpio carpio is the source of this 1772-nucleotide long non-coding RNA. The record is from Ensembl. NCBI's taxonomy places the organism in Eukaryota, Metazoa, Chordata, Actinopteri, Cypriniformes, Cyprinidae.